GAAAUAUUACUUUUUUUUUUUUUUAAUUAAGAAGAAAAAGUGCUUGGUGUUCCCAGGUGUAGUUACUGAGCAGCAUGGUUCCAAAGGACAGCAAAAGCACUUUACUGCCUUAGAAGGAGGGGAGGCUUUGCCAGGCCUAUGAAACCCUCAUCUGGAUCUGGCCUCCAGGGCAGCCUCCUGCCUGCCUCUCUGGUGAGGCUCAGCUUCUGCUCUGCCUCACCAGCUCCCCUCCAGUUCCCCUCACUCUGAGGGUGCAGGGAGCAGGGUCCCACGGGAGCAUUGGUGUGAGAGGGAGCUCCCAGCACCGAGGGAGAAGCAGGACUCACUGACCAAACCAUGUGUUUGUGCUGGAAGGGCCUCACUGCAAACAUGCUCAUCUUAUGGAAGAAGAAAGGAGGUUCAGAGAGGGAAAGGCUUGCCUGAGGUCACACGGCCUUCACAAUGAACAGAAAGCUGCAGUUUCCUCCUCUGUAUUCUUUCUCCACUCCCACUCGCCUCAUGUACCCCACUGACCCAGGUAUGAGAAACCCAGCCUGCACCUUCUAUAGCACCACAUGCCUAGACUGAGGAAAGAUCCACAAAUGCCACUCUUCUUCGAAUAGCCUACCUUCAUGAAGUCUCACCAACCCGCUGAAUAUGGACUCCAACGGUGCCCUAGGGGAUGGUGGAGCCACCAGAUGGAAGGAGCCUGGUGAUCCCGAGAAGGAGAGAUGCCUCGCUGACCUGAACAUCUUUCCAGAACUGUUAAAUGAAGCCUGCAGGACACCAGCUGACAGUGGAAGGACUGAGGAAGGUUGUAUAAUUUUGUGCAAGGUCCACCACAAAUCCAGCUGAAGAACUGCUCCAAAGUUUAGGUCAUGGCAAGAACAAGACUGGAUCACUCCAUGUCAGUGGAAACAUGUCCACCAACUUCAUCAUUGUCUGUUGUCAUGGUUCACUUUAGAUGUAAACUUGACUGGAUUAAGGAUUCCCUAAAGUGUCAGGCCUCUGAGCCCAAGCUAAGCCAUCAUAUCCCCUGUGACCUGCAUGUACACAUCCAGAUGGCCGGUUCCUGCCUUAACUGACGACAUUCCACCACAAAAGAAGUGAAAAUGGCCUGUUCCUGCCUUAACUGAUGACAUUAUCUUGUGAAAUUCCUUCUCCUGGCUCAUCCUGGCUCCAAAGCUCCCCCACUGAGCACCUUGUGACCCCCACUCCUGCCCACCAGAGAACAACCCCCUUUGACUGUAAUUUUCCUUUACCUUCCCAAAUCUUAUAAAAUGGCCCCACCCCAUCUCCCUUUGCUGACUUUCUUUUCAGACUCAGCCCUCCUGCAACCAGUUGAUUAAAAGCUUUAUUGCUCAC
This 1344-nucleotide long non-coding RNA is filed under the name Homo sapiens (human). RNAcentral's name for it is "HSALNT0359283". The record is from RNAcentral. Lineage: Eukaryota; Metazoa; Chordata; Mammalia; Primates; Hominidae.